Molecule: long non-coding RNA, 505 nt
Filed under: Rattus norvegicus (Norway rat)
Lineage: Eukaryota; Metazoa; Chordata; Mammalia; Rodentia; Muridae
Description: long non-coding RNA NONRATT005279
Source: RNAcentral
CGCCCGCCCCGCCGUGCAUUUAGCGGUUUUCCGCAUCGGGACACCGUUGCCGCUGCUGGGCGGGCCGGAGCCAGAGCUUCCGCGAGAGCUGGUGCCGGGUGGGCCGGGGGCGCGGGCCGAGGAGGCGGUACUGGCCCAGCUCCGGGCUCUGGACUGGGUCCCCAGUGACAGCGCCGCCCGGGCUAUGCCCACGGGGACGCCGCUAGCCACCGGAGCGAGGUGCUGCCCUCCGCCACCAUGACCGAGGGCACGCUGGCAGCGGACGAAGUCCGGGUGCCCCUGGGCGCUUCGCCGCCGGCCCCUGCAGCGCCGGUGAGGGCUUCCCCAGCGAGCCCUGGGGCGCCGGGGCGCGAGGAGCAGGGAGGAUCCGGGUCGGGCGUGUUGGCUCCCGAGAGCCCAGGGACCGAGUGUGGUGCGGACCUGGGCGCCGACGAGGAACAGCCGGUCCCAUACCCAGCUCUGGCUGCCACAGUCUUCUUCUGCCUCGGGCAAACCACGCGGCCGC